This is a long non-coding RNA of Erinaceus europaeus (western European hedgehog), 479 nucleotides long. RefSeq lists it as uncharacterized. Lineage: Eukaryota; Metazoa; Chordata; Mammalia; Eulipotyphla; Erinaceidae. The record is from RefSeq and is a predicted model, not a curated record. The transcript has 2 exons.
AGAGGGACACUUGCAGCAUUGCUUCACCACUUGUGGAGCUUUUUCCCCUGUCUGUCCCCCUCCUCCAUUUCUCUCUGUCCUAUCUAACAACAAUGACUUUAAUAACAACAACAAUAAUAUCUACAACAGCAAUAAAAAAAAAAAAGGGCAACAAAAGGAAAAAUAGGAAAAAAAAGAAAGAAAAUGUGCUAGAAUGGGGGCCUGGUGGUGGUGCACUUGGUUGAGUGCACACGUUACAGUAUGCAAGGACCCAAGUUGGAGGCCCCAGUCCCCACCUGCCAGGGGAAAGCUUUUCAAGUGGUGAAACAGUGCUGCAGGUGUCUGUCUCUCCCUCUCUAUCACCCCCUUACCUCUUGACUUCUGGCUGUCUCUAAUAAAUAAAGUUUAAAAAAGGGGGAAAAAAAAAAAAGAGAAAAUGUGCUACAAUGUAGAUGCCUUGUCCAGUUGUAUGAAACAUAAUAAAAACCUGAGUUAAAUGU